Molecule: unclassified non-coding RNA, 225 nt
Filed under: Hevea brasiliensis (rubber tree)
Lineage: Eukaryota; Viridiplantae; Streptophyta; Magnoliopsida; Malpighiales; Euphorbiaceae
Source: RNAcentral
AAAAAAAAAAAAAAAAACUCUAUCUUGUCUUGGAAAUGAGAAAAUCUCUCAAAUGCUAGAUCCUCUGCUGCUACAACAUCUCUCUCUGAAGACAACGAUGAGAAAAUGCAUGCAAGUAGCGUUGCCAAAUAAAACAAGAAUUUAAAGAAAAGAGAAAUUGGGUGGUAAAUUAAUACAUGAUUAGUAGUGAUGGUUUCAUUGUUGUUGCUGGGGUUGGGAUAUAAA